Non-coding RNA from Lingula anatina, 45 nucleotides. The record is from Rfam. NCBI's taxonomy places the organism in Eukaryota, Metazoa, Brachiopoda, Lingulata, Lingulida, Lingulidae.
AUACAGGAUCUUUUAAGAACCACAAAUUGUAAUUAAAAUCUUUUU